GCAGCCGCGGUAAUUCCAGCUCCAAUAGCGUAUAUUAAAGUUGUUGCAGUUAAAAAGCUCGUAGUUGAAUUUCGGGGUUCUACCGUUGGUCGGGCAAUAGUCUGUACUGGCGUGUGGAAUUUCUACCUUCUGGGGAACCAUCAUGUUAUUAAUUUAGCGUGGUGGGAAACCAGGACCUUUACCUUGAAAAAAUUAGAGUGUUCAAAGCAGGCUUACGUCUGAAUACAUUAGCAUGGAAUAAUAAAAUAGGACGGUGGUCCUGUUUUGUUGGUUUCUGAAUCACCGUAAUGAUUAAUAGGGAUAGUUGGG
This 309-nucleotide ribosomal RNA is filed under the name uncultured Gigaspora. RNAcentral describes it as "SSU rRNA". It matches the Rfam family "Eukaryotic small subunit ribosomal RNA", at positions 570 to 886 of the family's 1831-position model. The record is from RNAcentral. Lineage: Eukaryota; Fungi; Glomeromycota; Glomeromycetes; Diversisporales; Gigasporaceae.